This 379-nucleotide ribosomal RNA is filed under the name Quercus ithaburensis subsp. macrolepis. The record is from RNAcentral. Lineage: Eukaryota; Viridiplantae; Streptophyta; Magnoliopsida; Fagales; Fagaceae.
CUCCUGGGAAGUCCUCGUGUUGCACCCCUCUCUUUUUCUUCGCGUUUUUUUCGUUGGGGUUGUCGUUUGCGGCGGUCCAGCACGCUCGCUCUGCAUGCACCCCUUUGAUCUUCCCUGCAUUUAUUUUUUUUCUCGCUGGGCUUAUCGUGUACGUCGGUCCAGCACGCUCGCUUUGGAGGCUUAGCCCGCCCCAGGCCAAAAGCACGAGCCGCAGAUCUCGUUUCGGGUGCUAAAGCGUCGCGGGGACGUCGAAACGCGCGGAAGCCCCUCGGGCUGCACCUCUCCGGCGGUAAGGUGCAUCGUUGCGUUCGGAUCCUUUUAUAAGAAUUAAACGCGCUUAUGCUGAUGGGUGCGAUCAUACCAACACUAAUGCACCGGA